GCCUACUAAGUAUAAAGAUGUACAAUUGCCUUCCAAGCAGUUAGAUUAAGGGUACCUUAAAGUUGGCA
Molecule: transfer RNA, 68 nt
Filed under: Angaria neglecta
Lineage: Eukaryota; Metazoa; Mollusca; Gastropoda; Trochida; Turbinidae
Description: tRNA-Gly
Source: RNAcentral